AUGUAAACGGAACGCUGGC
RNAcentral lists this non-coding RNA (19 nucleotides) under Rattus norvegicus (Norway rat). Lineage: Eukaryota; Metazoa; Chordata; Mammalia; Rodentia; Muridae. The record is from RNAcentral.